GCCGGGCAUGGUGGCUCAUGCCUGUAAUCCCAGCACCUUGGGAGGCUGAGGCGGGUGGAUCACCUGAGGUCAGGAGUUCGAGACCAGCCUGGCCGACAUGGUGAUACCCCGUCUCUA
Non-coding RNA from Pan troglodytes (chimpanzee), 117 nucleotides. It matches the Rfam family "Metazoan signal recognition particle RNA". From Rfam's summary of the family: The signal recognition particle (SRP) is a universally conserved ribonucleoprotein. The record is from Rfam. Lineage: Eukaryota; Metazoa; Chordata; Mammalia; Primates; Hominidae.